AGAGCUAGCCUACGGGAGACAGCAGUGGGGAAUAUUGGGCAAUGGGCGCAAGCCUGACCCAGCAACGCCGCGUGAAGGAAGAAGGCUUUCGGGUUGUAAACUUCUUUUGACAGGGAAGAGUAGAAGACGGUACCUGUCGAAUAAGCCACGGCUAACUACGUGCC
Molecule: ribosomal RNA, 164 nt
Filed under: uncultured bacterium
Lineage: Bacteria
Description: partial 16S ribosomal RNA
Rfam family: Bacterial small subunit ribosomal RNA
Source: RNAcentral